UACGCACCGGCUAACUCCGUGCCAGCAGCCGCGGUAAUACGGAGGUUGCAAGCGUUCUCCGGAAUCAUUGGGUUUAAAGGGUCCGCAGGCGGAUUUAUCGGUCAGUGGUGAAUUCCUAUCGCUUAACGAUAGAACUGCCAUUGAUACUGUAAGUCUUGAAUUCGGUCGGAGUGGGCGGAAUGAGACUUGUAGCGGUGAAAUGCAUAGAUAUUACACAGAAUACCGAUUGCGAAGGCAGGUUACUAGGCCUGAAUUGACGCUCAGGGACGAAAGCGUGGGGAUCAAACAGGAUUAGAUACCCUGGUAGUCCACGCUGUAAACGAUGAUUACUCGUUUUCCGCGAUAUACUGCCGGAGACUAAGCGAAUGUGAUAAGUACUCCACCUGGGGAGUACGAUCGCGAGGAUGAAACUCAUAGGACUUGAC
Molecule: ribosomal RNA, 425 nt
Filed under: uncultured bacterium
Lineage: Bacteria
Description: bacterial SSU rRNA
Rfam family: Bacterial small subunit ribosomal RNA
Source: RNAcentral